This 1065-nucleotide ribosomal RNA is filed under the name Triticum aestivum (bread wheat). RNAcentral describes it as "partial small subunit ribosomal RNA". The record is from RNAcentral. Lineage: Eukaryota; Viridiplantae; Streptophyta; Magnoliopsida; Poales; Poaceae.
AUGGAGGAGCAGAUGUCGAGGCUCACCCACGACCUAAUGGCGGAGAUCCUCUCUCGCGUGCCCUACAAAUCACUCUGCAUCUGCAAGUGUGUGUGCCCUGCCUGGCGCGACCUCAUCGCAGAUCCGGAGAGUCGGAAGAAGAUUGUGCAGUCCCUGGCCGGUUUCUUCUACCACAUCCCGGCCGACUCUGCCGAGCCCCGCGGCUUGGCCGUCAACUACGCCGACCUCUCUGCCUUCCCUUGGUCCAGCGUGCCCAGGACCUACCCGCGCCUGCCACUACCGCCAGACAGCGCAGACUGUUCCUUCACUCUCAAGGAUUCCUGCGAUGGGCUGUUUCUUACCCGGAUUGGGACGGGCACGCCGGAGCUACAGUUUCGCUACAUGGUCUCCAAUCCAGCUACCGACGAGCACUGGGUUCCCCCGGUUGUGACAGGAGUCAACAUUUACUCUUCAGAAACUGGUGCAUGGGUAGCAAUGGAACCCAAAUGGGACAUCCAAGUUAGCUUGUGCGGCGGUCCACCUGGAGUUUUCCAUAAGGGGUGUUUGCACCUGCUCAUACAUCUUGAUGGGUUGGCAAUACUUGAUGCACAAGGGCUAAACUGGAGGACCAUCCCCGUGCCAAAUUUCAUCGACCCGAGUUUCUCGGGUUUCAUCGGAAAAUCUGCAGGACAACUGUUCUAUAUCAACUCUGACGACAGUGAAGAAGGAUAUGGCUCGACCUCAUUCUCAACUAUAUCUGUCUACGUUCUUAGCAGCGGGAUUUAUAACUGGGAUGCGUCUUAUUUGGACGACGGAUGCGCGCAUUGGAUAUUGUUGCACAAGCUUUCAGAUGUGAUUCCAAAGGAGAAUUUUUGUCUCGGCUGGGACCUCAAAGUCAUCGGAGUACACCCACAUGCCAAUAUCAUCUUUAUGGCUGAUUUCAACAAUAAUGAGCUGUUGGCAUAUGAUUUGGAUCAUCGUGAAAGUACAGCUGUACACCACAUUGAGCGGACCUACCUCGCACAUGAGCAAUAUUUCCCAUAUGUGCCACUGCUGUCCAGCCUACGGCUGCCAACGCCCAGUUGA